RNAcentral lists this ribosomal RNA (332 nucleotides) under uncultured bacterium. RNAcentral's name for it is "bacterial SSU rRNA". It matches the Rfam family "Bacterial small subunit ribosomal RNA", at positions 568 to 898 of the family's 1533-position model. The record is from RNAcentral.
UGUGUAGGCGGACUGGCGUGCGUCUUGUGAAAUCCCCCGGCUUAACCGGGGAAUUGCUGAACGAACUACCAGCCUUGAGGCAAGUAGGGGUGCGCGGAACUCUUGGUGGAGCGGUGGAAUGCGUAGAUAUCAAGAGGAACGCCGGCGGUGAAGACGGCGCACUAGGCUUGUUCUGACGCUGAGACACGAAAGCGUGGGGAGCAAACAGGAUUAGAUACCCUGGUAGUCCACGCCCUAAACUAUGUCUACUAGGUUGCGGUCGUUCUGACACGGCCGGAGCCGAAGCAAAAGUGUUUAGUAGACCGCCUGGGGAGUACGGUCGCAAGGCUAAA